This 322-nucleotide ribosomal RNA is filed under the name uncultured Sandonidae. RNAcentral describes it as "bacterial SSU rRNA". The stretch from base 109 to 322 matches the Rfam family "Eukaryotic small subunit ribosomal RNA", at positions 741 to 955 of the family's 1831-position model. The record is from RNAcentral. Lineage: Eukaryota; Cercozoa; Glissomonadida; Viridiraptoridae.
AAUUUCUGACCGAACAUGCUUAGCCCUAUCAGGUUACUGGUGGAGUGCUGAGUCGUGUUGGUCAUCCUUCCAGAAAAUGUUAUUGCUCUUCACUGAGUUGAUAAUAUAAUCUGGAUCUUUUACUUUGAAAAAAUUAGAGUGUUCAAGGCAAGCUUUUGCUGUGAAUAUAUUAGCAUGGAAUAAUAAUAUAGGACUUCGGUUCUAUUUUGUUGGUUUCUAGAACUGAAGUAACUGAUUGAUAGGGACAGUUGGGGGUGCUGGUAUUCAUCGGCCAGAGGUGAAAUUCUUGGAUUCUGUGAAGACCAACUCAUGCGAAAGCAUU